ACGGGAGGCAGCAGUGGGGAAUAUUGCACAAUGGGGGAAACCCUGAUGCAGCGACGCCGCGUGAACGAUGAGGUAUUUCGGUACGUAAAGUUCUAUCAGCAGGGAAGAUAAUGACGGUACCUGACUAAGAAGCACCGGCUAAAUACGUGCCAGCAGCCGCGGUAAUACGUAUGGUGCAAGCGUUAUCCGGAUUUACUGGGUGUAAAGGGUGCGUGGGUGGCAUGGCAAGUCUGAAGUGAAAUGCGGGGGCUCAACCCCUGAACUGCUUUGGAAACUGUCAAGCUUGAGUACAGGAGAGGAAAGCGGAAUUCCUAGUGUAGCGGUGAAAUGCGUAGAUAUUAGGAGGAACACCAGUGGCGAAGGCGGCUUUCUGGACUGUAACUGACACUGAGGCACGAAAGCGUGGGGAGCAAACAGGAUUAGAUACCCUGGUA
Molecule: ribosomal RNA, 434 nt
Filed under: uncultured bacterium
Lineage: Bacteria
Description: partial 16S ribosomal RNA
Rfam family: Bacterial small subunit ribosomal RNA
Source: RNAcentral